GACGAACGCUGGCGGCGUGCCUAAUACAUGCAAGUCGAACGCUUUUUCUUUCACCGGAGCUUGCUCCACCGAAAGAAAAAGAGUGGCGAACGGGUGAGUAACACGUGGGUAACCUGCCCAUCAGAAGGGGAUAACAAUUGGAAACAGGUGCUAAUACCGUAUAACACUAUUUUCCGCAUGGAAGAAAAUUGAAAGGAGCUUUUGCGUAACCGAUGGAUGGACCUGGGGUGCAUUAGCUAGGUGGUGAGGUAACGGCUCACCAAGGCAACGAUGCAUAGCCGACCUGAGAGGGUGAUCGGCCACACUGGGACGGAGACACGGCCCAGACUCCUACGGGAGGCAGCAGUAGGGAAUCUUCGGCAAUGGACGAAAGUCUGACCGAGCAACGCCGCGUGAGUGAAGAAGGUUUUCGGAUCGUAAAACUCUGUUGUUAGAGAAGAACAAGGAUGAGAGUAAAAUGUUCAUCCCUUGACGGUAUCUAACCAGAAAGCCACGGCUAACUACGUGCCAGCAGCCGCGGUAA
This 523-nucleotide ribosomal RNA is filed under the name uncultured bacterium. RNAcentral's name for it is "partial 16S ribosomal RNA". It matches the Rfam family "Bacterial small subunit ribosomal RNA", at positions 28 to 523 of the family's 1533-position model. The record is from RNAcentral.